Non-coding RNA from Taeniopygia guttata (zebra finch), 1389 nucleotides. NCBI's taxonomy places the organism in Eukaryota, Metazoa, Chordata, Aves, Passeriformes, Estrildidae. The record is from RefSeq and is a predicted model, not a curated record.
UCUUCCAUUGGCUGCUCUCCAGCACACAGGCAAACGCAUCCACCCUUUUCCAUAGAACUCUAUAAUCUUCAUCAGGAUCCACUCAACCCUCCUACUAGUGUUUGUUUCUGUUGCUGUUACUGCUGUUACUUUCUCUUGGGGCUGCUGCUGCAGACUACAUCAAUGAAAAGGCAGAAGGCUCCUUCUCAUCUAAACAGCAAAUGAAGUCAUUUUGCUCUUCCCACUUUUUAAAAAAUGGUUGGGCAAGAAAGGCAAAACAGCAUUACUCACAGGAGAUAUUAUUUCUGCAAUAAUGUAGGGAAAUCAGCUUUUUCUUAUGAAUCUAAGUCAACCAAGGAAAAUGUCAAAAUUUACCUGUGAUUUUGGCAGGCAUUUCUGAAUACUAACUGUGUGGAAUUGUUCUGUGUUUUCCCCUUUUGAAAAGGUCUUCUCUUCAGCAUUUAACCAAAUGAGGAGAGGAAUCAGAUUUAUUUAUGGAACUCCCAGUGGCUCCUAUUUUUUUUAAAUCAUUAUUACAUCUUAAAUAGCUGCUGUGUGUAUUAGCCUCUAUCUUUUUCUGUCUCUUAAGAAGCACUUUAUUUACAAUAAGCUGGAGAGGUGCCUCUUGCACAGGGAAAAUGAUACUUUGAAGCAAUUCUUCAUUCCAUCAAGAGCUUAUUGUGUAACUAACUGCAGACCAUUACAAAACUCAGGGCCUAAAUAAAUACCUGCUCUACAGACUGGGACUGAGUUUUGCCAUCUCCUGAAACCAAUCCAUUAUGAAAGAUUGAACUGUUCGUAGCUGUGGAGAAAUAUUAGGUCUUCACUGACAGAAGCCAUGGGAAUCUUGAGAGAAAAUACAUUACUAGUCAUGUUCUAAAGAGGUCAGAAGUAAGAACUGUUAGUUGGAGACACAAUAACAGAUCAUCUCUUUGAGGAAAUGAAGGGAGAUGUAUUAAUAGAUACACUCUAAAAAGAAGGUGAAAUAUAAUGUUUACAUUAUUCAUUAGCAGUAAAAAUAUGAGAAAAUUUGGCAAAUUUUAGUUUUUUGUUUAAAAGCUAUUCAUAAAAUAAAUGUGCUUCUACAUUUGUAUUAUCACAUAUCUGUUUUACUCAGAAAUUUUAUGGUGUUCUGUCUCAGAAAUUUGACUGAGAUUACUUUCAUUUAUGAAGUAUUUAUAAGCAACACCCCAAGGUUUAACACUGCAUGGCUCUUUCCACACAGAUGUCACUCUGGCUGAUGCUUCUGUGGAGUUUACAAUUCAAUAGUUCUGUCUCCGUGUCUCUCUGCCAGACAAAAACUGCAAAAAUUAUGGAAAUAUGAGCUUUUAUGAUGCAUUUCUAAAUGAGUGAAGAAACAGCAGACUUACAGAAAAUAAUCAUCAAUAAAGAAAGUUUCCAGAAAUAAAA